GAUGAACGCUGGCGGCGUGCCUAAUACAUGCAAGUCGAGCGAACAGACGAGGAGCUUGCUCCUCUGACGUUAGCGGCGGACGGGUGAGUAACACGUGGAUAACCUACCUAUAAGACUGGGAUAACUUCGGGAAACCGGAGCUAAUACCGGAUAAUAUAUUGAACCGCAUGGUUCAAUAGUGAAAGACGGUUUUGCUGUCACUUAUAGAUGGAUCCGCGCCGCAUUAGCUAGUUGGUAAGGUAACGGCUUACCAAGGCGACGAUGCGUAGCCGACGUGAGAGGGUGAUCGGCCACACUGGAGCUGAGACACGGUCCAGACUCCUACGGGAGGCAGCAGUAGGGAAUCUUCCGCAAUGGGCGAAAGCAUGACGGAGCAACGCCGCGUGAGUGAUGAAGGUCUUCGGAUCGUAAAACUCUGUUAUUAGGGAAGAACAAAUGUGUAAGUAACUAUGCACGUCUUGACGGUACCUAAUCAGAAAGCCACGGCUAACUACGUG
This 497-nucleotide ribosomal RNA is filed under the name uncultured bacterium. RNAcentral describes it as "partial 16S ribosomal RNA". It matches the Rfam family "Bacterial small subunit ribosomal RNA", at positions 28 to 507 of the family's 1533-position model. The record is from RNAcentral.